ACGCGAGCUGGGUUCAGAACGUCGUGAGACAGUUCGGUCCCUAUCUGCCGUGGGCGUUUGAGAUUUGAGGGAAGCUGCUCCUAGUACGAGAGGACCGGAGUGGACGAACCUCUGGUGUUCCGGUUGUCAUGCCAAUGGCAUUGCCGGGUAGCUAUGUUCGGACAGGAUAACCGCUGAAAGCAUCUAAGCGGGAAGCCCCUCCCAAGAUGAGAUCUCACUGGAACUUAAAGUUCCCUAAAGGGCCGUUGAAGACUACGACGUUGAUAGGCACGGUGUGGAAGCGCAGUAAUGCGUGUAGCUAACGUGUACUAAUUGCCCGUGAGGCUUGACCAU
Molecule: ribosomal RNA, 333 nt
Filed under: Hydrogenophaga sp.
Lineage: Bacteria; Pseudomonadati; Pseudomonadota; Betaproteobacteria; Burkholderiales; Comamonadaceae
Description: partial 23S ribosomal RNA
Rfam family: Bacterial large subunit ribosomal RNA
Source: RNAcentral